This 531-nucleotide ribosomal RNA is filed under the name uncultured mycorrhizal ascomycete. Its description in RNAcentral is "eukaryotic LSU rRNA". The stretch from base 194 to 347 matches the Rfam family "5.8S ribosomal RNA". Lineage: Eukaryota; Fungi; Ascomycota. The record is from RNAcentral.
UGGAAGUAAAAGUCGUAACAAGGUCUCCGUUGGUGAACCAGCGGAGGGAUCAUUACCGAGUUUACAACUCCCAAACCCCUGUGAACAUACCUAUUUGUUGCCUCGGCGGUGCCUGUUCCGACAGCCCGCCAGAGGACCCCAAACCCUGAUUACAUUUAAGAAGUCUUCUGAGUAAACCGAUUAAAUAAAUCAAAACUUUCAACAACGGAUCUCUUGGUUCUGGCAUCGAUGAAGAACGCAGCGAAAUGCGAUAAGUAAUGUGAAUUGCAGAAUUCAGUGAAUCAUCGAAUCUUUGAACGCACAUUGCGCCCGCUAGUAUUCUGGCGGGCAUGCCUGUCCGAGCGUCAUUUCAACCCUCAAGCCCCCGGGCUUGGUGUUGGGGAUCGGCGAGCCUCCGCGCCCGCCGUCCCCUAAAUCUAGUGGCGGUCUCGCUGUAGCUUCCUCUGCGUAGUAGCACACCUCGCACUGGGAAACAGCGCGGCCACGCCGUUAAACCCCCAACUUCUGAACGUUUGACCUCGGAUCAGGUAG